RNAcentral lists this ribosomal RNA (420 nucleotides) under uncultured bacterium. RNAcentral's name for it is "bacterial SSU rRNA". It matches the Rfam family "Bacterial small subunit ribosomal RNA", at positions 355 to 774 of the family's 1533-position model. The record is from RNAcentral.
UAAGGAAUAUUGCUCAAUGGGAGAAAUCCUGAAGCAGCAACGUCGCGUGGAGGAUGAAGGGUCUAUGACUUGUAAACUCCUGUAAAGAAGGAAAAAAUUCCCAUUAGAUGGGAGAUGAUGGUACUUCUGGAGUAAGCCCCGGCUAACUACGUGCCAGCAGCCGCGGUAAUACGUAGGGGGCAAGCGUUGUCCGGAUUUACUGGGUGUAAAGGGUGCUCAGGCGGAUUUGUAAGUCAGAGGUGAAAUCUUACAGCUUAACUGCGAAACUGCCUUUGAUACUGCAAGCCUAGAGUAUGGAAGAGAGUGAUGGAAUAUCUGGUGUAGCAGUGAAAUGCGUAGAUAUCAGAUAGAACACCAAUGGCGAAGGCAGUCACUUGGUCCAUUACUGACGCUAAAGCACGAAAGCGUGGGUAGCAAACA